Molecule: long non-coding RNA, 2732 nt
Organism: Monopterus albus (swamp eel)
Lineage: Eukaryota; Metazoa; Chordata; Actinopteri; Synbranchiformes; Synbranchidae
Exons: 3
Source: RefSeq, a predicted model, not a curated record
GAUAGUUUUAAUAAAUAAUAAAUAGUAAAUAAAUAAUAAAAAAUAGUUUUAAUAAAUAGAAAUGAUAGAUAUAACAGGAGAUUCCUCAGCUUAAAGUGAUCUAUUUCAUAGAGUUUAUUAAACAUUUUAUUUUCUGUGUAUAACAGGUUUAAAUUUCUGUUUCGCUGUUGAGGUUUAACUUUGUUCUGCUGCAGUUUCACCCUGACUGCUUUCACUUCUGACUUGUGGUGAGGAAAUGUGUUUAGGAAAUGAUGCUGGUGGUGCCAAACAAGGCAGUUGAUGAAAUCAGCACCUGCUCAGUUCUAGAAAAACCUGUUUCUAGACAGUGUGGACACUGUGUGUGCUUAGAAAAAAGUAAUAAUUUUAGAUCUAGAGAGGGCUGCUGUUGUGGUGACGCAGACAAGAAAUAGAGUGUUUCCUAGUCAGGACCAUCCCUAUGUGGAACUCUGUGCUGAUGGUGAUUGUCAGAGCGUUUUAAGGCAACGCUUCAGGAGAAUGCAUGCGGCACUUGGGCUCAGCUGAUCCCUCAUAGGAAGCAGGAAAUACAGUAGGAAGGAAUAGGAGAAGUAUAGGAGGGUAGAAAGGAAAAGAAAGGACAGAAGGACAGGAUAGAUGGGGAGGGUUUUAUGAGAAACGAAACAAUUAUGCAAGUGGAGAGUGGAAGUAUUUUUAGGCAAUUAGCAGGGGAAGGUGCACAUUAGGGCCGUGGUCCUGCUCCUGACCCUCCGAUGUUCAUCUUCAUUAGAAUAAACACAGUUGUAAUGUGACUAAAAGGUUUACCUUGGUUUUAGUGGCACCUUCUUCCAGCUCACCUUCUAACGAUUCAUGUACAAAAAAGACUGGAUCAGUAGAGAUAUAAACAUUCAGUGUGCUAACAAUACUUAUUUUUGGAAUGUUUAUAUUGUCAGACUUUUAAAUUCCCUUUGUCAUCUGUCACAGAUGGUGUUACAGCUCCAGACUCUCCUUCUCCCUCAGUGUUAUCUUAGUUCUCCAUCUCAUCAGCUCUUCACCUUUACACAGUCAUAAGAUGAAGUCAUUCAAACAAAUAAAAUAAGUACAUUUUAAUAAAAAUGAUUACAUAAAACAUUUUGGAAAACAUCCUGAAAAUGUUACUGCAAGUAAACUGUUGCAAAUAUUGAAAUUUAAAAACAGUUUUUCCAUUUUCUCCUCUUCUUCAGCCAGACCUCAGGCCUGUGACAAACUUCAUGGGUCCAUUUGAAACAGGUCCAUGUUUAUUUGGAGGCUUUUACCAUAAAAUGUAAGUACGUUUUGAGUUUAUUUUCAAAUAUAAUUUCAAAGUCAGCAAACAUGACAUAUUUUUUUAAAUGUAGAAUGAAAGAGGAGGGAAAUGAAAGAGUCUCUUCCACACAAGUCAGAACAAAGAAGGCAACAGGAAUUAUCUCAAUGUGAAAGUGAGGUUUUGGUUUGAACAGCUAAAAACUGCAUGUACAGAUUCUCUAAGGUUUUUCCAAACACAAUAGAAAGUUUGUAUAAACUCACCUCUGCUCUGCUUCGUCUGCGAAGGUGUGGCUCCUUUGUUUUGUCUUAUAUAACAAGAUCAAGGAUAUAGGUGUGGUUCCUGGUGUGCUCAUCACAAAGCUGCAGCCACGUUAUUUUGAAGUCAGUGACAACAAAAGUCACUACAGGUGGAUGUUGUACUGGAGCAGAUCCCUGACACUGGGCAGGCGGUGGAGGACACAUGGACAGGUUGCUAGUCUGUCACAGAGCUGACACAAAGAGACAGAGAACCACCCUGGAGGAAACCACACAGACAUGGGGAAACCAUGACAUAGAACUUUCCUGCUUUCACUUCUCCUUUUGUAGAACAUGCAAGCUCCACACAGAAAGGCUGCACAACAAUUGGAUGUAAAAAGGAAGCUGUUUACAAUCAAGUUUCCUGAAAUCCCUGUGCCAAAGAUGUCUCCAGCCUCCUGCCUCGAUGACUAUUCCCCUGUCACACACAUCCACCAUCUAAAGAUGACACCUUGCUAUCAGCCUGCAUCUGGCCCUCACUCACCUGGACAACAAGGACACCUACGUUCAAAUGCUGUUCAAAUGUAUUAUAACAAAGUGGAAGGGAUUGGGAAUGACAGCAACUCAGCCACGAAAUGGUAGGCCACCUAAAAUGCUGAGACACAUAGUGCACAGAGGUCGCCAACUUUCUGCAGAGUCAAUAGCUACAGACCUCCAAACUUCAUAUGGCCUUCAGAUUAUCUCAAGAACAGUGCAUAGAGAGCUUCAUGGAAUGGGGUCCCAUGGUCGAGCAGCUGCAUCCAAGCCUUACAUCAUCACCAAGUGCAAUGCAAAGCGUUGGAUGCAGUGGUGUAAAGUACGGCAUCACUGGACUCUAGAGGAGUGGAGAUGAGUUCUCUGGACUGAUGAAUCAUGCUUCUGUGUCUGGUAAUCUGAUGGACAAGUCUGGGUUUUUGGGUAGUUGGCUGAUAGAAUGACAAUUAUUUCAAAUGCAGUGCAAUGGAAAUGCAUUCAAAUGUCUUCAAGAAACUCCCAAGCCCUCACCAUUAACACUUAGCAACACACUGAGAAACACAGGAACUAACUGAAUACUCCAAACUCCAAACCUAAGCAUAAUAUAUCAACAUCCUGUAAAUGUAUUGUUUUAUUUGUGUUUAAACAGAAUCCUUACUAUGAUUCUAUAGGGGUAAAAUUCUAUAAUAACUAGCCACAAAUGCAUAUUCAGCAAUUUACAUCUGCAUUUAAGGAGAGGUGGAAAA